This 253-nucleotide ribosomal RNA is filed under the name uncultured bacterium. Its description in RNAcentral is "partial 16S ribosomal RNA". It matches the Rfam family "Bacterial small subunit ribosomal RNA", at positions 524 to 776 of the family's 1533-position model. The record is from RNAcentral.
UACGUAGGGGGCAAGCGUUGUUCGGAAUUACUGGGCGUAAAGGGCGCGUAGGCGGCACAGCAAGUCGGGAGUGAAAGCCCGGGGCUCAACCCCGGAACUGCUUUCGAAACUGCUGAGCUAGAGUACAGAAGGGGCAACCGGAAUUCCCAGUGUAGCGGUGAAAUGCGUAGAUAUUGGGAAGAACACCUGAGGCGAAGGCGGGUUGCUGGGCUGAUACUGACGCUGAGGCGCGAAAGCCAGGGGAGUAAACGGG